UUAAAUGUAUCAUUUUUAUCAUGACGUAUUUAUUUUUUUUUAAAUACUUGAGAGUAUACCCAGUCUACCCACGAUUGUUUAACAAAAUGUUGAGAUUAUACAGCACGUAUAAUGUAGUACGCCCCAUGGGAACGCCACUGGGCAGACUAUAAUUUGUUUUUUUCAAAGUUAUUUACUAUAGGUAUCUACUGUACAUUGAAUUACAAUAUGAUGGCGUGCAAACGACGGGGAAGUUUUUCGCUGGA
Molecule: non-coding RNA, 245 nt
Organism: Cinara cedri
Lineage: Eukaryota; Metazoa; Arthropoda; Insecta; Hemiptera; Aphididae
Source: the annotation of a GenBank genome assembly